ACUUGACCAAUUUUACCAGUGUUGCUUAAUUUUUUAAACAUGUUUUGUGAGAUCUAAAAACCUCCACCUAUACUCAGUUCAAACGAAGCCGAGUCGUUAUAUGCGUUUUAUUUGGAGAUGUGCAUUCCAAAGGAACACUGUCUUUAGAUGGAUAUUCUCCUUGUUUUCAUAAAAAGAAAACACCACGUUAAUAUUGUCCAGGGCC
Molecule: long non-coding RNA, 205 nt
Filed under: Mytilus galloprovincialis (Mediterranean mussel)
Lineage: Eukaryota; Metazoa; Mollusca; Bivalvia; Mytilida; Mytilidae
Source: RNAcentral